GAUGAACGCUGGCUACAGGCUUAACACAUGCAAGUCGAGGGGAAACGCCGGGGAAGCUUGCUUCCCCGGGCGUCGACCGGCGCACGGGUGAGUAACGCGUAUCCAACCUGCCUCUGACUGAGGGAUAACCCGUCGAAAGUCGGCCUAAUACCUCAUGGCAUCGUCUGCGGGCAUCCAACGACGAUUAAAGAUUUCAUCGGUCAGAGAUGGGGAUGCGUCUGAUUAGCUUGUUGGCGGGGUAACGGCCCACCAAGGCGACGAUCAGUAGGGGUUCUGAGAGGAAGGUCCCCCACAUUGGAACUGAGACACGGUCCAAACUCCUACGGGAGGCAGCAGUGAGGAAUAUUGGUCAAUGGGCGAGAGCCUGAACCAGCCAAGUAGCGUGCAGGAUGACGGCCCUAUGGGUUGUAAACUGCUUUUAGGCGGGGAUAAAGUGAGGGACGUGUCCUUCAUUGCAGGUACCGCAUGAAUAAGGACCGGCUAAUUCCGUG
RNAcentral lists this ribosomal RNA (491 nucleotides) under uncultured bacterium. RNAcentral's name for it is "partial 16S ribosomal RNA". It matches the Rfam family "Bacterial small subunit ribosomal RNA", at positions 28 to 507 of the family's 1533-position model. The record is from RNAcentral.